GCUCCCUCUCCUCGUCCUGUCCCGGUGAAUCCACAGAACACAUCCGCCACCCACUGGUGUAGGCCCAGGAAUCCCAGGCAGGGGCUCUGAACAAUGUUAGGUUCCAGACUCCUACGAGACACACCGGAUUCUUUUCCUACCAAAAUGCACGUAUGACCCAUCCCCCUUGACUUGGGCCAUUUCUGGGGCUCACACCCCGCCAGGCAUGGAGCCCCAAGAGGUCCACAGGCCUAAGUCAGACCCUCCAGCUUGGUUUCCUAGGCAACAGCUGCUCUCCUUCCAGCAGCACACUGACCGAGGCAGGAAUAUUCUGUCGCUCCAAGAGUUCCUUCUCAAGGGGUGGGGGAUGCCAGCUUUCCUUACUUAUGGGCCCGAGGUGGACGGGACCCCAGCACCCAGCUCUCCCCAGUCUCCACCUCCCAUCGGCCCGUCUGUCUCACGUGCUCACAGGCAAGUGUCCUGCAAGACGGAUUCCACUUCCGCUCCGGGACAGCCUCACAGAGGAAAGGACACAGCCCCAAAGACCCUCACCUGUGGAUAGGAAGCCAGCCACACCGUCUCCUGCCUGGGACACUCCUGAGUGUGAAGAGAGGGUGCCUGUCCCGUGAGGUGCGGGUUUGAGGGGCUGGGCCUCCCAGGAGCCCUCUCUGCCUCUGCCCCCAGAGUCUGGGGCACAGAAGCGAGGACUUGCCUGGUUCUCUGGGCCUGUGCCUUCCGGUCCAUGAGGAGAAAAGGGGAAGUAGCCUCAGCUGAAGGCUGCAGGGUUGGGCAGUGGUUCUCCACCUGGUUGGCCAUUAGAAUCAUCUGGGAGCUUUUAAAACUACCUAAGGCAGGUCCCACCCAAGACCAUUGACUCAGAACCUCUGAGGGUGGGGCUGGGCUUAGAUCUUUCUUCAAAGCUCCCCGAGGUGAUCUCAGGUCCAGGCAGGGAUGAGGAGGAUGGGGCUGGAGGGAUCUGGGUGGAGCACCCUCCAGGGAGGACAAGCUGGAGGGAGCCCAGGUGCCCCUCCCCCUGCAGCUCAAAGGUCACAUCCUUCAAGAGAGCAUCCCAGACCUCAGUGUAAGGACGGGACGCUGGUUCCCAGGGCUGGGACCAUGCCCCUCCCUGUGCCUGGUUGUGUGGUCUGCUCCUGGCAGGCAGGACCAGGUCAGCCUUGUUCAGGCCACCACCCCAGGGAUGAGAAGUCCACUCCCUUGGGGUGCCCAUCAGAGGGGGAGGAGGAACUGUGGAGGAAGUGGGCAAGAAGGAAAACAAACCCCACGGAGCCCAUUCUCGCAGGAGUUAUGUCCUCAGCACCUUCCAAGCCCCCCUACUUAAGUCCAUAGUUUACUCCUGAAACAACCCCCCACGGAGAACUGACGCACUGAACCCAGCGUGCACCGACCACAUGCCAGGGGCUGACGAACUCGGACCCCACAGUCUGUUACAGGACACCAUCCACAACGCUAACUAUUAACCCCCCCAAAAUAGCUUCACUAGGCCAGGGACAUCUAGGGACAGGGACAUAAAACACAUUCUCCCAAAAUGGUAACAGGAUGUCUCCCGGGUGGUGCCGCCAUGGCCUUGAAAGAGCCGGGAGCGAUUUCAAAUGGGCUCUGGGCAGGAGAAGAGAGGGGGAGCGGCAGUCAGCAGGGGGCGGGUCACCCAUCACCACCAGGAAACAAGACGUUUACUUUUUACAAGGUCUCAUGUUCCUGCUUAUUCUUUACCUAAAAACCCAAACUUCCCAACUGGGUCUUCAAGUACCAAUGUCACCAAAAUCUCAAUUCAGCAAAAUACCCAAAAACACCAAUUAUUCCAGACAACGAGUUUAGAAAGAAAAAGGGACUGGGAAAUCAAGAUGAUACGAAGAAGGGUCUUGGAGGAAAAGUUCAGUUUGAUUAGACUGGAUUUUCUUACAAAGGGCUAUGACACGGGCCUUCGGAGAUGGUGCACCUUCGGGGUGCAGCAGCUGUGACCAAGCCCACAGCAGGGUCUUGGGACCCCCUCAGCCUGGUCUCCCUGGGGGCCUGUGAGUCUCUGCUGACUGGUGGGCUGGUCCUCAACAGCCAGCACCUCUGUCCCCGCCAUCUCCUGCUCCACCAGGCUGCAGCAGCUUCUCUUCAAGGAUGGUAAGGCUCAGAAAACAUCCGGGAGUCCUGGGGGCUGUUGACUUAGGAGAAGAAUCCGCUGCAGAGAAGGCCCCAGGGGACAGGACGAAGGAACGCCCUGCACCCCCCAGAACCAUCUAGAAAACCAAGGCUGGCACGCAGCAUUGAUUGGAUCUGAGGCAAACCAUCAGCAAAGCCCUUCCCAGGUUGAUGACAGGUUCUCACCUGGGCUAGGCUGGUGUCAACGACAGGCCCUCUGUUUGCCUCUGUUCGCCUGGUGCCCUUACAAUCCCAGUGUUGUCGGAGCUUCCGGGCCCAGGCGGCUGCUGGUCA
Molecule: long non-coding RNA, 2424 nt
Organism: Equus asinus (donkey)
Lineage: Eukaryota; Metazoa; Chordata; Mammalia; Perissodactyla; Equidae
Source: Ensembl